UACGUAGGGUCCGAGCGUUGUCCGGAAUUAUUGGGCGUAAAGAGCUCGUAGGCGGUGUGUCGCGUCGGCCGUGAAAACCUGGGGCUCAACUCUGGGCGUGCGGUCGAUACGGGCAUCACUUGAGUUCGGCAGGGGAGACUGGAAUUCCUGGUGUAGCGGUGAAAUGCGCAGAUAUCAGGAGGAACACCGGUGGCGAAGGCGGGUCUCUGGGCCGAUACUGACGCUGAGGAGCGAAAGCAUGGGUAGCGAACAGGG
This 255-nucleotide ribosomal RNA is filed under the name uncultured bacterium. RNAcentral's name for it is "partial 16S ribosomal RNA". It matches the Rfam family "Bacterial small subunit ribosomal RNA", at positions 524 to 777 of the family's 1533-position model. The record is from RNAcentral.